This 420-nucleotide ribosomal RNA is filed under the name Haliotis discus hannai (Japanese disc abalone). RNAcentral's name for it is "partial 16S rRNA". Lineage: Eukaryota; Metazoa; Mollusca; Gastropoda; Lepetellida; Haliotidae. The record is from RNAcentral.
GACACCUUAAUCCAACAUCGAGGUCGCAAACCCUUCUUUCAAUGUGAACUCUCCAGAAAGAUUACGCUGUUAUCCCUGUGGUAACUUUUUCCGAUAAUCAACAAUGCUGGAUCACUUGUUAGUAAACCAAAAUUCUACAAAUUAACAGAGAAGCUUUUCAUGUUCCCUAGUCACCCCAACUAAAGAUGUAAGAAUAAAUUCAAAAUCCUCUAUUCUAAUAGAAACAACCCCUUUAUUCCACACUAAAGCUCAACAGGGUCUUCUCGUCCCUCAGCUAAAUCUAAGCCUUUUCACUUAGAAGUUAAUUUUUAAAUAUUCCAGGAGAGACAGCUCAGCCCUCGUCAAACCAUUCAUACCAGCCUCCAAUUAAAAGGCAAGUGAUUGUGCUACCUUUGCACGGUCAGUGUACCGCGGCCGUUU